UUUAUCCACUCGAGACAGUUAAAUUUUCCAAUUUAAAACGCGAGGCUCGCCAAGCGUUUUAAAUAUUUAAAAUUUAACUUUCGAGAGUGGAUAAAUAUCGUAUUACACGAGAUUUGGUGGUGGAAUCUGUUUCUCUAAUGAUUUUCAAACAAUACGCAGGCAAACUUAUUCCUUCUUUGCGACUGAUCUGCAAAAAGAUGUGGUCUUUCUAUGUGGCAGCAUCAGGCAUGGUCGCCUUUUUUCUUGCCGUCACUAUAGGAAAUUCAGAGGAAAACAGUAAAAUUCGACGUCAUAAUCGGAUUUUAACCAAUGAAGAACUGAGAUCAAACGAACCACACGUUGAUUAAAUUUUUU
Molecule: long non-coding RNA, 354 nt
Filed under: Mytilus galloprovincialis (Mediterranean mussel)
Lineage: Eukaryota; Metazoa; Mollusca; Bivalvia; Mytilida; Mytilidae
Source: RNAcentral